This 529-nucleotide ribosomal RNA is filed under the name uncultured Actinomycetes bacterium. RNAcentral describes it as "bacterial SSU rRNA". It matches the Rfam family "Bacterial small subunit ribosomal RNA", at positions 783 to 1314 of the family's 1533-position model. The record is from RNAcentral. Lineage: Bacteria; Bacillati; Actinomycetota; Actinomycetes.
UACCCUGGUAGUCCUAGCCGUAAACGUUGGGUGCUAGGUGUGGGCGGAUAUCGACCCCGUCCGUGCCGAAGCUAACGCAUUAAGCACCCCGCCUGGGGAGUACGGCCGCAAGGCUAAAACUCAAAGGAAUUGACGGGGCCCCGCACAAGCGGCGGAGCAUGCGGCUUAAUUCGAUGCAACGCGAAGAACCUUACCUGGGUUUGACAUGCAGGGUGAAACCCGUGAAAGCGGGCGCUCUUCGGAGCCUGCACAGGUGGUGCAUGGCUGUCGUCAGCUCGUGCCGUGAGGUGUUGCCUUAAGUGGCGCAACGAGCGCAACCCCUGUCNUUAGUUGCCAGCGGAUCAUGCCGGGAACUCUAGGGAGACUGCCGGUGCCAACCGGAGGAAGGUGGGGAUGACGUCAAGUCAGCAUGCCCCUUAUACCCAGGGCUGCACGCAUGCUACAAUGCGCGAUACAGAGGGCUGCGAUCCCGUAAGGGGGAGCGAAUCCCAAAAAGUCGCGCUCAGUUCGGAUCGAGGUCUGCAACCCG